RNAcentral lists this unclassified non-coding RNA (226 nucleotides) under Hevea brasiliensis (rubber tree). The record is from RNAcentral. Lineage: Eukaryota; Viridiplantae; Streptophyta; Magnoliopsida; Malpighiales; Euphorbiaceae.
AUUUUUGGACCCAUCCAGACAGAGCCAUCACAAAAGCUUACGACAAGACUGACAAGGCAAUUCUUUCGCAUAAUCCUGAUCUUGGGCGAGGUGGCUCCACUGCUGUUACUGCUAUUCUAAUAGACGGUAGGAAGCUGUGGAUGGCCAAUGUUGGUGAUUCACGAGCAGUCCUUGCUAAAGGUGGACGGGCUUUACAAGUGACAGUCGAUCAUGAACCUAGCACUGA